RNAcentral lists this ribosomal RNA (433 nucleotides) under uncultured bacterium. Its description in RNAcentral is "partial 16S ribosomal RNA". It matches the Rfam family "Bacterial small subunit ribosomal RNA", at positions 29 to 507 of the family's 1533-position model. The record is from RNAcentral.
AACGAACGCUGGCGGCAUGCCUAACACAUGCAAGUCGAACGAGACCUUCGGGUCUAGUCGCGCACGGGUGCGUAACGCGUGGGAACCUGCCCUUAGGUUCGGAAUAACUCCCCGAAAGGGGUGCUAAUACCGGAUAAUGUCUUCGGACCAAAGAUUUAUCGCCUUUGGAUGGGCCCGCGUUGGAUUAGCUAGUUGGUAGGGUAAAAGCCUACCAAGGCGACGAUCCAUAGCUGGUCUGAGAGGAUGAUCAGCCACACUGGGACUGAGACACGGCCCAGACUCCUACGGGAGGCAGCAGUGGGGAAUAUUGGACAAUGGGCGAAAGCCUGAUCCAGCAAUGCCGCGUGAGUGAUGAAGGCCUUAGGGUUGUAAAGCUCUUUUACCCGGGAUGAUAAUGACAGUACCGGGAGAAUAAGCUCCGGCUAACUCCGUG